GGGCCAUCCAAACCCAUUGGCAGAGAAGAGCCCAGAGACAGUGUCAACUGAACAGAUGAUCACAAAAGAGAAAAUAAUUGACAGGAUUUCACCAAGAACUCUUUAGAAUGUUUUUAAAAGUAGCAUGCUUAUUACAGAAAUUAGAAGAGAAUUAGUUUUCACUCUAAAGGUUAAGGCAUAGCUAAAGACAGCAAAGCUAAAGAUGCCAGCUAAGGGAAUAUACAGGUUAAGAAGAGACCUUUUAAAAAUAUGAAAUGUUUAAAAAGUAUUAAAGAUAAGACAAACCUU
Molecule: long non-coding RNA, 288 nt
Filed under: Bos taurus (domestic cattle)
Lineage: Eukaryota; Metazoa; Chordata; Mammalia; Artiodactyla; Bovidae
Description: long non-coding RNA NONBTAT008300
Source: RNAcentral